AAGUCGUAACAAGGUUUCCGUAGGUGAACCUGCGGAAGGAUCAUUAACACGUAUCCAACGUAAAAACAACCCUGUGAACCUUCAAACGUGAUCGCCUAGCAAUCCCUGGUAAAUCAUUGUUGACCAGCUAUUGAGUCAGGGACCUCGAGGCUAUGGAAAGCGGCCUGGCAUCCUAGCAAUCUGUCAGUGGUUGCGCAAGGAUGGCGCAGUAAACGAUUGCUGGAGGCCCACACGGCCGGCGACCGGGCCUCUGUGCCUUGUGCACCUAAUGACCCCAAUGUUUCUGACCCGGUGCGCUGUAACAACCGCACCACAAACUCGAACAACUGUUAACAAUGGAUAUCUUGGUUCUC
Molecule: unclassified non-coding RNA, 353 nt
Filed under: fungal sp.
Lineage: Eukaryota; Fungi
Description: partial internal transcribed spacer region
Rfam family: Eukaryotic small subunit ribosomal RNA (bases 1-46)
Source: RNAcentral